This 32789-nucleotide long non-coding RNA is filed under the name Coffea arabica (coffee). RNAcentral's name for it is "long non-coding RNA (CARA_LNC001606)". The record is from RNAcentral. Lineage: Eukaryota; Viridiplantae; Streptophyta; Magnoliopsida; Gentianales; Rubiaceae.
AGUCCAACUAUAGGGUGAGGGGGGAAGACCUUCGGAGGGAACUUUGGAAGAGGAGGAAGCUUAGGAACUGGUGGAAAGGGUUUCUUGAAGGGGAAUGGUGGUUUUGGGAAAAAUGGGAAAGGUGGAAGUGGCUUCUGGUACACGGGAGGCUUGUAGAUUGGCACCGCCGGUGGGAGUGGCUUCUGGUACACCGGAGGCUUGUAGAUUGGCACCGGCGGUGGAAGUGGCUUCUGGUACACGGGAGGCUUGUAGAUUGGCACCGGCGGUGGGAGUGGCUUCUGGUACACGGGAGGCUUGUAGAUUGGCACCGGAGGCUUGUAGAUUGGCACCGGCGGUGGGAGUGGCUUCUGGUACACAGGAGGCUUGUAGAUUGGCACCGGCGGUGGGAGUGGCUUCUGGUACACAGGAGGCUUGUAGAUUGGCACUGGCGGUGGGAGUGGCUUCUGGUACACAGGAGGCUUGUAGAUUGGCACGGGCGGUGGACAUGGCUUUUUGACUACUGGAGGCUUGUAGAUUGGCACUGGCGGUGGAAGUGGCUUCUUGUACACCGGAGGCUUGUAGAUUGGCACGGGGGGUGGAAGAGGUUUUAUGAUUGGAGGAGGCUUGAUUAUGGGAACAGGCGGAGGAAGUGGUUUUUUGUAGAUUGGGAUUGGUGGUGGAAGUGGCUUCUUGUAAAUAGGGAUUGGUGGGAGUGGUUUCUUGUAGAUUGGGGGGAAAGGCAACUUAGGCAAAGGAGGGUGUGUAAACCAGGGAUGGCCCGUGGGCAAAGGUGGAUUCUUGAAGAAUGGCCACAAGAAAGCUGAAGCACACAGUGCUGAGGUGAACUUGACACUUUCAGCUGGACCAAAAGUCAGUUUUCCAUCAGUAUCUGGCUUGGCUACAAUUUUGUUGGCUUCAAGGCCAUUGUGCGCUGGGCAUGGGGUUGCUGAUGCACUAUGGAGUUGUGCAAAGCACUCCUCAUCUAGUUUCCCAUCUUUCAGAAUUUCUCUGGGAACGGAUACCCUGAACUUCCCUUCUGAAUCAAGCUCUCCAGAACCCCUUCUUGUCACCUCUCCAUUUUUGAGCUUGCAAUCAACAGUCACACGUAGCCCUGCAAAAGGCAAAAUCAAGAAUAUUCAAGGACUCUUUAUAAAGACGAUAGACUACACUGCAUGCAUUUUGGCCAUCAGUAGCAGAUACUUUUGGUUAUUUUUGUCAAUUAGCCUGAAUCCAUGCCAUGCCUCUCUCAACUGCAAAAUCUUUACUGCUGCGGCCCCAUUUAAGUAAAGUUAAAAUGAGCCAACAUCAUCAGAUCAAGGAUUAAUGCAUGGGACAAGCAUGAGAUGUAGACAGAGAUCUACCACACAAGUAAUUAAGUACAUGUACAGGUUCCAGUAAGUACAGCCGAAAGAAUGGCCUGCCAUUUUUAGUAAAUUUGGGAAUAUAUUGAAAGCGGUCAUGCUGUGCAAUUUGAGCUGUUUCACAUGAGCAAGCUAGGAUAAAACUAGUACGUUGUCAGAUACCCCUUACAAAAAGGUACCCAGGAUAGGACAAACCUGAGAAGGCCUGGCUAGUCUUGAUCUUAAAGUCCUUGCAAUCUGCGCAUUCUCCAGCCCCAACAACCUGGACCGUUUUGUCAUCAGCACGGCAAAAGCUGACAACAAAGAAGAUGCUAACCAAUAAGAACAGGAGAUGGGAAACACCCCUCAUUGAGUUUGCGGUUCCCUUCUCUCUUGUGAAACUAGUUUUGAGUGAUUUGAGUCAGAAAAGCGUUGUCAUAUAUAUAAUGAUGAUGAUCGCCAGGGGGAAGGGUCCGCCGACACCAAAACUUAAAGGGCAUCACAUGAGGUUAGGUCCCAGUGAGCUUGACUUAUGCCCCGGGAAAACAUUUCUCAAGCAUAAGUGAUCAAUGGCCAUUAUCUUCAUUCAAUGUCCUUUCAACUGCACAACCCGACUUUGUCCAUCUGUAAACCUACUUACCAGCGCCAUAAUUAAAUAUCACUCGCUAUUCUAAAAUCCCAUGUUGAAUUCGUGAAAGAUUUAUAUUGGGCUUUCUUUAGUUCCAAGAGUUAUUUUUGGCAGCAAAGCAUGGGCUCUAGCCAGUAAAGAAGUACCUGGACUUCUUGCUUAGAGAAUUACACACACACAAACAGAAAAACAAAAAGAGAAGGGCGCCAUGUGCUAGACAUUAAGUGACUAACUCCAAAAUCUCAAAAUCCAUGUGAAUAAACAAGCUUUUUACCCUAAUAAAUGAAUUUCCUCAACAGUCUCUCGGCCUUGCUGCAAUUCGAUUGGCCAGUAUUCAACCGUACAAGAAUUGCUUUCUUUCCAUUGCAUAAUGCACGAGAGACUGUUAAACAUGUCAGAUUAUGAGAAACUAUAUGUUGUUAUUGUUUCGCCAUGUCAGACUGUGGGAUACGGAAUUUUGAUUACAUACAGUAAUGGGUUAGAGCAAGGAGUAGUUAAGCUCUAGUUCGUACCCAAUAAUCGAGUUGCUACUGGAAAAAACUUGAAUGCAGCAGCUGGAUGGCAAUAAUGUUCACACUGCCCAUGGCUCUUGACUAGAAACUUGGCCUAAUUGAUCGGCCACUCUAACCAACCAAAGCAUGCUUCCCACCUAUGUUUCAAGGGCACAUGCACAGCCCCUUUCGGCCAGGAAGACAAGUAGGUGGCUGAAUUGUAAAGACUAGCUCAAAAAGACAGAUUUAAACAUGAAAAUGAUGUUCUAGCUAAUUAACAGGCGCUUUACUCGAUUCCUCCUGUGUAACAUUCCACGAAUUCAAAUGAGAGCCCUAAAGUUCCCUUCCGAUUCUUAGUAUUGAGAGCUGCAAUUAACCAUCCUAUAUAGUGUUCCGUAGGGAAGUUAAAAGCCUCAAAGGUCAUUCCUAAAUGGGAGUGAAAACAAGAAAUGGAAGUUCUUGCUAAAAAAGAAGAAGGAAGAAAGGUUGGGAUGCAGUGUUUGAUAAUGCCCGUCCGACACAAGAAAGAUAAUGUCCCCUGUAGAAAGAUAAUUACCAUAGAAGCCGCACACAAGGCUAUCAAAAAACUGAAUAAUGUAACGUGGUAAAGUAGCAUAUCAUGUACCAUGAAAUAGCUCUCCAUAGUUAAUUAAUCAAUCACUGCUGAUCAAUUCAGUCGUAGAAUUUGAGCGUAAACUAGGUUCAAAAGAUUGGUGAAAUGAGAUACUCCCUCCGUCCCACCUUCUUGAUAGUCCUGUUUUCCUUUUUCGUCUGUCCCAAAUUGUAGUCCACUUUCCAAUUGAAGAAUGUAGUUAUAUUUUAACUUUCAUAAAAUACCCUUAUUUAAUGUAAGUUGUUAUUACUAUAAACCUACCUACCCCAUUUAAUGAGAGUUAAUUCUCUUUUUACCAUCAAUUCAAGUUCCCAUAAAAUUGUACUCUAUUUAAUGUGAGAGUAUUUUAAAAAAAUAGCAAUCUAAAUUUAUUUUUCUAAUAAAAUUAACUACUUUUUCUUAAACUGUGUGAAAAAAGAGACCGAACUAUUAAGGUGGGACGGAGGGAGUACAUGUAAAGAACAUAAAACAAAAGAAAGAAAAACUGGUAAACGAAAAGGACUUGCAUGAAGUAGAGAAGAAAUCAGGUUAGAAUGGGUUUUGGUUGCUUUCUGGUACGCCAGUUUAAAUCACCUCAUCUAAGUUAAGCGACACUUAACCAGAAGAUUCGGUCCAUUUAAUGUAAAUGAAUCAACAAUCUGACUGUUUUGCUGACCAGAAGUGGGCCCAAUGAAGAAAAGAAAGCUCAAACCGAGCGAAUUAGUAGUACUUAAAAUAUAUAUAUAUAUUGGGAGUGCAGCUUAAGACGGUCAAUUUAUUAUUGCGUUUUCUGUUUCUUUAGUGUGUAUGAAAUGAACCCGCAUCUUGACUUGAUUUUGGUGUUCCUUUAACCAGCCCCUCAAUAGUGACAGAUAAUAGUCUCUGCGGCAUUAAUGUCCGGGGCAAAUAUCUGCGAUAUGUGCUUUGGAUUUGUUAAAGUCCUCAUAAUGCAGGAAGCUCUGUAGCCACUAAUGUAGUGAGUGCAUACUGCUAAUUUAUUCAUUCAUCUUCAUAUGCAUAUCAGUGGAAGCGGCAAGCCAAUCGUACGUAACCUGUAAUUGUAGAAUCAAAUAUUAACAACACUACAAGGGAUUAAUACAUACCAAUUAUAUACUUCAGCAAAGUUGCAAUUAAUAACUCACAAAUUGUGGUUAUUAAAAACUAAUACCAAUUAUGCACAAGUUUAAAGAAAAGACGAGGUACCCACACAGAGUGUGCCUUUUCCAACACUGAAAGUUGCAGUCUUAUUCUCUAUCGAAGUUUGUAAAUGACUUCGAAUUCAAUUUUAGGGUUAGUUGACAUCCAAGAAUCCUUCUUUCUUUUCAAGAGAAGAAGAAAAGACAACAGACGCUAUCGGUUACAACUGGAAAAAUCAUCAGCCGCUGUCAUUUUUACGACCUGCUUUACUGCAGUUGCCCUCUGGGACAGAAAUAUAAAUCCCUUGACAGUGGACAUUAUCACUUUCUCCAUGUCCUUUUCUCCAAGCGCAUCAGAAUCCAGUGCUGGAAUGUCGGUUUCAGAAUUUACAGUUUCCAGUGUUCACCCUAAAAUUUUGAGAUAAUUUAACGUAAGACAGUUUCUUCUAUUCUAUCGAGCAAAUCAGUCCCAACAGUGACACUUCUCAGAUUACUUGAGCUAAUACUCAGUUUUAUUAACAUAUGCCAUCAUGCUUAUUUUCUGUCGGGUACUUUCAAAAAUCACAUCCGUCCAAAACCAUCGCCCUCCGAUUCUUGUCAAUGCCAACAAACAACUCUUUAAUUACUAUAAUAAGUGGGCAGACAACACAGAUUUUUCAGCCCAGGAGCAACACUGUUCACAAUCUUCAAUAUCAUAGUCAUACCGCUGUCACGGAACCCACCCACAAAACACACAAAGGGAGCGGUCCUCCUCUUCUCAAAAAAUUAAAAAAAAGGAAAUAAAAUCAUGCAGCCAUUCGACCAUAGAUAUGCUCAAUUUGUGGACUCGUCUGGCCUGCUUGGGGCGUUUGAUCGGCCCAGCAGACAAGACGCCACCAAUAAGGACACAGUUGUAAUGGGAAAAUUCGCUCUGGCAGACUGGUCCCAACUCCCAACUUGUAGUACCAUCCAUGAAACAGCAAGAUGAACAUGAACAUACCUUUUUAAGGAAAAAUCCGUGUUUCACAAAAUUGUUUUUGUUUUUUUACCUGAUCAAUUCUCAACUAAUUUGGCAUUAAGAAAGGCUCAGCUUUCAAAAUCUCUUAAUUUAACAAAAUGAGUUUUCUUCCUCCUCCUACAACAGUGAGGCAAUAAGUCGUUCUCAAGUUUAAUUCCAAAAGAACAUUCCACCUUCUGGGGCUCCUUCACUAUCAAAGAUGCCUAAGCUGUGUUACAAGAACUAUGGCCUUGUCAAAACUCUCCUGAAGGGCAAGUGACCUCAGCAAGGUUUAUCUACUUCUUCUUCUUUAAUUUGCUGGAUUGAGACUGACUAUAAGCAGUUCCCUGUGAGAAAAAGCGUGGGCAAUUUAAUGAAGAUAUUUCAUAAAUUACUCCUCGAAAAGGUAUCUAGAAGGUAAAAAAAUAUUCCUCAGUUAAAAACUUUGGAUGGCCACAGUGCACAAACUACAAACCUCCAGCCACUCAUCCAUAGAGGCAUCAGUUGUACCAGUUCCAACCUCCACCUUUGGCGCCCUCUUGCUUUUCUGAUAAAGAGAAAUAAAUAGGGGAGUGAAAACAAGUAAAGGGAAAGGAGGGCAGGCAAAUGCAGAUAACACUUAACGACCUAUGAUCAAUUGAAAUUAACCCUUUCAGAAAAGUCUAACAGAUGAGCUAUUGUCUUAUUAACUUCUACUUUUCCUGUCAUAUGGAACAAUUGGAAGGGGAUAAAACAUUAAAUGCAAAGUAAUCACAACUCUUCUUAUGACAUUGUCAUAUGCUCUUCCCUCUCUUGGUUAGACAAUAAGAAAUUUGACUAUAGGUUUUCCUGACACAUUCUGUAGAUUGCAGCUAUGUGAUGCUAGUUUCACGUGCUAUACCAGACAAGAAGCGUGCUAUACCAGACAAGAAGCAGGUCAAUGUCUAUAGAAAUGUCAAUGAAUCAGACAAUGCAUUAGAUAUCCUUUUUUUUCUCUCGAAAACAAAACAAUGCUCUACUUCCUAGUAAUGGGAACAAAUAUUACUUUUAGAUCCCAAGAAAGAAGAGAAUACAGGAAAGUAUCAAUAAAUGAAGUUGACUAGAACCAUUCCUUCUCAAUCUAAAGAGUUACUAAUAUUAGGCAUCUGAUUAUUGAGAUGCAUUCAAUAACAAGAAGCCCCAAUCCAAGGCAGUAACUUAAAACAUUAAUCAUCUCCCCAAGAUAUCCAGUGCAAACACAGCCACUAACAGAUUUUAUAAGAAAUGCCAAGAUACUUUCUGUUCAGCUUCUAAGAAUUAUCUUACAUUUUAAAUCAUCCAGAUUACCACAACCUUUGGCUACUGUUGUAUCUGAAAGGAAAAAGGUCAACUCACCUUUGACCAAUGUUGUAUCUGAUUCCGUAUCCAAAAUACUGCAAAGCCAACAAAAGCAAUUGCAAGAGAAACUAAGAAAACAGAUUCCACGCUCAGAGGACCACCAGCCUCAGUUACUUCAAUAGUACCAUUGUAGAAGGUACUUUGAUAGGGAUGUUGAUCUAUUUCAUAGACAAUUGUGCCCACAAGAUCAAAUGCUCCAGCCUGCAAAAUAGAAAAGUAUAAUAAGUAAAGCAGCCUUUGCAAUGAAUUUUAUCGAUUUAAGUAGUAAAGUAAAUGGAAGAUGUUAUGAAAACAAAUCAAGAAAACUAUAUUAGCUGCAAGUAAUUAACCUAACCUGCAAAAAUUUGCUGACAGCGAAUAUGUAUGGGAAUGUGGCUUGAGCAGCAGGAGGGACAGAGGCAUUGGUAAAAGCCUAGAGAGACAACAAAAUUAUGUUGUUACAUCCUCAGUCAGAAAACUUGGUAACUAACAUGUGAAGUCCAAGAAACAGUUGAAAUUCUAAUUCCAAAAGAUUUAAGGACUUUGAAAGAUAAAGUAGCAUUUACUCAUCUAGAGCACUGAGAGCUCAUAAAUAUUAUAAACACAAAGUUCUGCAGUCAAACCUAAUUCAGAGUAAAAUCCUUAAUCAUUGCAACAGCAAUCACCUCAAUUUUCAAGGUUAUGAGGGAAACAAACACAUUAAAAGUAUUGUUAUGGCAGGUAUUUUCAAAUUCAAUGCACACCAAGCUGUGCUUCAUCUCACAUCAAUAGCCGGCAAAUGAAUUGUUAAAAAGUUAAAAAAGCAACUACUACGCCUCUUGAAAAAUUACAAAACUUGGCCCCCUAAUAAUGAGAUCCACCCUUCCAUGAUUGCAGACUCCAAGAAAAUAAUUAUAUUGAUACAAGACUUUAAGGCAUGACAAGGCACAAGAAACCAUAAAUUAUCAAAAAACACCAUAUAUGAUAUUCAUAUCACUACAAGAAAGCAGGAUUCAUGAUUGAGCCCUCUAGAUUGCACACAAAACUUGUGACAGAAUUUACUUGAAUAUAACACAAAUUGCAAAUAUUUUGAGAUAAUGAACUAGAUUGCACACAAAGCUUGUGACAAGAUUACUUUAAGAUUCCACAAACUGUGAAGAAACAACAGUACCAUUUGUUCUCCCCUGCAGUGACUCCUAAAAUCAUCUCUAAGACAGAAUCACAACGUGAUAGCAAUUUCCAUAGAAACAACGGGUAACAUUGUUAUGUUAACUCAUACAACUCUGAGCUCCGUGCUUUAAUCCAUAACAUAGCCAACACAUGUCUCUAUAUGUGCAAAACAACCUAACCCAGGUCACAGUGUAAAAAAAUUUUGCCUCCUACAAAUGUUAUAGUCCCAACACAAAAAGCUGGAUAAGCUCGAUAAUUGUUUUCCAGUCCUCUUUGUAUCACAAAGCACAACUAGAUUUUCAUCAAGUAGUCUAGUCAAUUUGAACAAACCACACAGUAAGAAUUCAAACCGCAGAGCUUUACAAAGUGACAGCAAACUCAGUGUGGUAGAAGGCUGUUAAUUUUAUUUAUCAAUACAGAUAGCAAUUAUCCAGUCAGGGAAUCAACUGAAUCAAGCAGCAAGCAUACACCACUUACCUGACUAGAGAUAUUCUGAAUCAGAUACUUAUGAUCAUAUGGAAGAUGAACACUAGCAUGGAUUGCAAUGAUAUUCAGACUUGAUUCUCCUGUUUCAAUCAUUAUUAUCAGAGAAAGACCCACAGAAUAACAACAGAUACAUAUAACUAAAGAACUGUACUACAAGAGACAUAUAAGAACUUAGAUGAUCCAAAAAAAACCAUUUCAAUCAAAAGAGGUUGCAAAACUGAAACACAAUAACAAAAUCAUCCACCAAGCUUGAUACUUUUAAAAGAAACGGUGUACUACCAAAUAGCAAGCUUACCAUCAUUCUUAACACCAACUAAAAGUUCACCUUCUUCACCAGCAGUAACCACUGAAAAGGGGCAAACAGCAUAUCAAAGUUCCAUUUUGGAGGAAAGAGAAUGCACAUUGUAAUACAACAAAGAGGUGAGAUUACAUGCACUCAUAAUUACAAAUCAAAAAGGAGUUGUUACUUACAUUUAGAAGGAUUUUUCGGGAAAACACAGAUAGUCUCCACCCCAGGAGCUGGACCAAAACUCCCACCACCAAUAUCUUGGACAUCAUCACCGACGAUACCAAGAUCACUCACUUCCUCAGAACCUUCAACUAUUUCAGCAUCUGCAUCCGGUUCACCCCUAACAACUAUCAAGUGAAAAAACAGCUAAUGAACCUCAGUCGCAACUUGUUACAGAUACAAAUUCAAUGAAAACUCACUUAAAUUGUAUGCAUGGUAAUUCCCUAUAUCAUUGCUAGCAAAAUAAGUACAGAGAAUCCAUAGCAAUAAGCUUGGCAGAGCUAAGCAGAAGCAGAAUCAAAUAAAUCAAUUUUCCCGGAAAUUCUCUCCAGGGACCAGGCAGAGUUAUUAACGAAACAGUCGAGCAGCAUCCUCAUCAGUAAUAGAAAAGUUUCUGCCUAUUUGAAAUUGACAAUUGCCCCUUUCAACUGUACACCACAGUAAAGGAGCAACAGAUUUCGUAUCAAUUAAACGGAAUAACUACAACGAUCGCCACUUGAAUGAAAUAUAGCCUCUGCCUAAAAGACUACAUAGCAUAUUGUUUAAAAAGAGAGAAGCAAUUCAUUCAGGCAGCGUUUAACCUCAAAUCAACACAGGCGUUGACCGAGCAACAUAUGAAAGAGACCUAAAUCACAUGCAUGACAAGGGAAACUUAUGCAGUAGUAACUAUCAUUCUAUACAUGAACGAAUUGCGUGGUAGAAUUUGAAUCCGAAUUCGGAUCGAAUGUGAGUUGGACGGAUGAAAAGCCCAGAUAAUGUAUAGCAAUUAAAAAAUCCAAGCAUCGAACUCAUUAUUCCGCAUGCAGAGGUAUCGAUACAAGUCAAAUUAAGCAUUAGAAAAUUGAACUUUCCGAGCUACACUUGUCAAGUACAAAUCAUUCGUACAUAUAAUCGAAAAUGAAUCCAGAUCUACGAUCGUAAGCAAACCUUGGAGGAAAGAGGAGGAAAAUACGAGCAGCGCGAGGACGAAGAAAACCCUAAUCGACAUUCUCGCCUCGGUAAAUGAAGAGGGGAGAGAGAGAGAGAGAGCACAAAGGGUACAGAUAGACUUCCAGAAAAAUGCACGAAGGGGGGGAAUGACUGGGUUUCGGUUCGGGUUGGGGUCUGGGCUCUGUUUUUGGGUGAAAACUGGAGCGGAGAUGAGGAAUUGGGGAGUUUUGGGAAACUGGGAGCUCUCUCUAACUCGAGGCCGGAGACAGAAAACCAACAACCAAAAGACGUCAAUGCUGAGGCAACUUUGCCCCCUUUCCCUUGCACCUUUUUUAUGCCCUCUUUUUUUUUUUCUCUUUUUUCUUUUUUCUCUCUCUAAUCGCUUAUUAGUUUUUUUUAUCACUCUCCAUUUAAUGAUUGAUGUUAUUGCAGGAGUUUUAGUUAUUGUGUUUGGAUCCCUAGAGAGUUUGGGAGAGUGGAGUUGAAGUAGGCUUGGAAUUUGGGAACCAGGCUUUGUCUAAUAUUAUAUAUAUAUAUAAUGUUUAGAUUCAGGAAUUAGAGUUGCUAUUCUCAAAUUCUAUUCUAUUUAAUUUUGUUUUUAAAUUAGCACCAUUAUUCUUGAUAAUUUUUAUAAUUACUAUUAAGUUGCUAAUUUAUUUGGAUUGCUUCUUUCUCCUUUUUUACCAUCUUAUUUUAGAAAAAAAAAUUAUCAAUUCCAUGAGAGGAUUAUUAGCACAUUUUUAGUCCUUACUUGUGGGAUUGAAGUUCAACACGUGGGUUUGUUUGGAUAGAGGAUUAUUUGUCAAAAUUUAUUUGCUUACAUCAUCGUUACAAUUUCCAACACAUCUUUUUAUCUUUUUAAUUAUUUUUUUAUUUCACAUACAUCACAUCAUAAAAAUUAAUAUAGUAAAAAUAUCUCAAAUAAUUUUAUCUCCAGCUUCGAAACAAAAACGUGGUGUGUUUGUGAUAUUUCAUUGCCAGCAAACCUUUUGAUAUCAUUUCAAGCUGGGUCUUGUAUUUCUUUAGCUAUCCACCUAUGAAAUUCAUUAUAUACAAAAAAAAAAAAAAGGAAGGAAAAUAACAUUAUAUUAUUAUAUACUAGCGGUAGUCCACUAGAUUGGGAGAUGAGAUUUGAGUAGAGAAAAAAAUAAAAAGGAAGAGAAAGUAAUAAGUCUUCCCAAUUGAUUUUGGAGGAUGCGCCGGGGGUAAAAAAAUUUCCAUCCAAAAUUGAACAGAAAAGGAAGGAAAUUUAUAGUAAAAAAGUUUUCCAUCCAAAAUUGAACAUAAAAAAGUUUUUUUUUUUUUUAAAACUAUCCAAUCUAUCCUUAAAAAAGCUAUUGAAUAAAAAUUUAUUAACUAAUAUAUUCAAGAUUAUUUCAUUUAUUUAUUUCAUAAACUCUCAAACGUUAAAACCCCUUUUCUUAUCCAUCACUUUCUCUCAUAGGCUUUCUUUUAUUUCCUUUUCUAUCCUCAACUCCCAAACUAGCUGUUGGGCUCUUAGGCCUUAGCUAGCGGAGGAGGAGAAGCAAAGAAGUCUUCGUCUCCAUUGCAAUUUGCGAGGUCAGGGCCUAGUUACAGGGUAAAAAAAUGGAUCAAUUUAAUCAUCAGGAAACUGUUUAUCAUCAUCAACAAGUUCAGCCCCCAAAUCCCCCGCUUCCCGAGUUUGGACAGCCUCCGCCUGAUAUGCACUUGUCUUCUAAUCGCCCCAAUCUUGACUCCAGGUUUUGCCCCCGUCCCUUUCUCCUGCAAUUCCAGAUUCUCAACUUUUGCAUGCAAGUUGUAUUUAUGAGAUUGGGUUUUGCUUCCCUGGUGGUUUUUUGCUUUCCAGGUUUAGCUGGGAUUGUUUGUCCUGAUUUAUUUGAUCCUGACGCCUUAACUUGUGAACUGUGUGCUAGGGUUUAAGUUAAAAUGGGGGGUGUUAAUUGGUUAGGAAAAGCAUGUGGAACAAGUUCAAAAUUUUGAUGCUAUAUGAUGCUGCCCUAUUAAAGUGGGCAAAUGGGUGUAUCUUGGGUAAAUUUAUUCUGAGAGGUUAUGUUACAAGCUACCCAUAAAUUUAACUAGUUUUUAGAAAGAGAAAUCAUUAGCUGGAAUUAUCAGGGAGUGUAUGAUUGUGGUUGCUUUUCAAGGAAAAGAGGGUACAAGUUUUUAGGUUUAAAAUUGUGUAGAAACCUUUACUGUGAAUGAGGAUUUCUGUUAUUGAGUAUACAAAGCUUCUCUGACUGGUAAAUGCAGUGUAAUUUGUAGGAUGGAAAUGCUUAAUAUUGGAAAGUGAUCCAGUGUGUAUAUUUGUUAUCUGAAUGUAAAGAAAGCAGAUGAUUGAAAAUCUGAUGAGUUAAAUGAAGUUCUGGUUAAGUUUUACUGCAUUGCUUACUAGCGUGUGGAAGUUGAAGUGGUAGAUGCAACAAGAUAAUUGCUUUUGACUUUCGUUGAAGAAUUAUCUGAAAAGGAAUACACAAAAUCGUGUCAGGCAUUUACUGAGGUUAAAGGAAGCGAAUGCUGAAAACUGUUGAAACUCAAUUAGCUGUUGUCAAGUAAUAACACUCACGUCUACCCCAUUGACAACCAAAAAUGAGAAACACUAAAAUUACAUGUUUAUCAUAUAAAUUUGUGCAUCCUUGGCUGAUAUAGUAUUUGACAUUCAAUACCUCAACAGCUUAUGUUCGAGUUGUGGGAAAACCUUAUUACCACCCUUGAGACACUUCAAAUAAGUGAAUAACCUCUUAUUUGCACACGACUGGUAGUCCACGUUAGAAAUAAGGAUUAAGCUUAAAACAGCAGGAUUAUUUGUGUGGUGAUGAUUGCUUGUCCUAUGGAGCUCACAAACUAUAUGGAAAUUGUAGCUGAGGUCAAAGGAUCUACUCCUUUCCAUUUUCCCUUUGAUAAAUCCUGAGCAUUACUUUUGCAGACAACUUCACCACUUCUGGACUCAUAAACAAGGAAGGUUCUUGUAAUACUAGAAAUAUGAAGCUUCUCUAAUUUAUGGUGUCAGCGUGCCUGUAUAGCACUUUUUUGUGUGGCGUAGCCAAAUGUCGGAGCAAAAAAAAAAUUACAAAUAGGGCCACACAUCAAUUUUCUUGUCUUAUAGAGGCACAAUCAUUUUCCUUCUCUUGUCAUGCUUGCACAAGUAAUAAUCUGUUUCUUGGGUAUAGUAUUUUCUUACAUGGCAAUAAAUAUGCUGCUUUACAAUGGUCAACAUAUUUUUCCGCCAUCAUCCUCUUGUAUUAGGUGCAGUAGAAUUCAUGAUUUCAUUGAAAUUUUGCUGAUUUAUUCUGUAAAUGCCAUGGAUCAAUGUAGCUUAGUUUGAGAAUAGAGCACUUUUUCUUUGAGUCUCGAGUGUGUUGUUGAGGAUGGAUGGUGAUUGUUAAAUACAAGUCAAUUUAUCAGUCUUUCAAAAUCGAAUCUCUGCCAGACUUACAUAGAGAGAGAGAUUUAUUUCCUGCCUUGUGAAACAUAGGUCUUUUGUGUAUUUUAGUUCUCUGCUAAAUGUACUGUGUUUACCCAUUCAUAAGAUGAAUAUCUAGCAUCCAGUUGGCAUAGUAUCGAUUCGCAAAAAUGGUAUAACAGGUCAUAUAGCUUGGGUCUUUGAUAGAUGAAACUUGAUAACCCUUUAUACACAAGAGUAUAUAUCUCUGCUGGAUAAAAUUGUUUUUGAAACAUUAAAUUUUUCAUAUAUAUUUUACUGGCCCUUCUCUCUCACCUCCCCCCUCUCUCUCUCUAUCUCUCUGUCUUUUUAUGUCCUUAUUCUCCUUAUUGCCUGGGUCGUCACUUGAAGGCCAGAAGCAGUGCCAAAGGACUCCAUUGCCACAAGGAAAGUUCAAAAAGCUGACCGUGAGAAGCUACGGAGGGAUCGCUUAAAUGAGCAGUUUGCUGAGUUGGGAAAUACCCUUGGUAAGCCCAAAAGUUUUGAAUUAGCUUGGUAACGUGGCAACUAAUGCAUUCUGCUUUCUAUGAAAUCCGUUGAACAUCUUAUCCUGGAACUCAUUAUAAUGAAAAUAGUAUCCCAGAAAUGUAUAUUGUGAGUGGGUUCAUAUCUCUUCUUCUGUACCUUGCUUUACUCGCAGAAUCUUAUGCAAUUUUCUCAUUACUUGAAUUUCUUUUUCUUUGACUUAUAAAGAGUUUGCCCCAUUUGUAAGGAAUUGUUUAACCAAAUCCUUCUGAAGAUUCACCACUUUAGUGGAUUUUUUCUCUGGUCAAAUCUCAUUCGUGACAUGGUCUAAAAUUAUCACAUCUGGAGGCACAUUGCCACCGGAUAUUCUCAUAGCAAUCCCCAGUGGACUUCUUUUUUUUUUUUUAAAUUUAGUAUGCUAGUUACUGUUAAACAUUAAGCAUUAAAUGACUGCUUGACUUCAUAGCAGAAGUGGGGACCAGUUGUGGGACAUUCAUGUCAUGGAUCUUUUAACGCUUGUUCCCUCUCCUCAUUACCUUAAUACUGGAAAACGAUUUGCACUCUACUAUAGUUGAUGUCUCAUGUGCUUUCUGUUUAGUUUUGUAGAGCAACUAGACAACUGUAUGACGAUGUUUAAUCCUGCACCCCUAUAAACCCUCCUUGAAUAGACAAAAUCGUAAUUUCUGGUAUUACUUGAAACAACCAAGAGAUUUUAUAUAUUCAAUUUUCAGCCGGUAUGAUCAUGAAAGUAGCUUGUUGUUAUGUAGUGUUGUCACUGGUGUUUCCCAAACAUCUGUAACUUGGGCUGAUUAUGAAGUUUGAUUUCAACCGCAAAACUUUGUCAAGAAACUUAUUAGUUCUGUACAUAUGGUUGAACCUAUAUCCCUUUUUUGUUUGGUUCAAGUAACUUAUUUACCUGUAGUAAGUUUCAUGUGAUUUUUUUCUCAUUAGAUGUGUUUAACGAGUUUGCAGAUCCUGAUAGGCCAAAAAAUGACAAAGCAUCUAUCCUCACUGAUGCUAUCCAAAUGGUGAAGGAAUUGACUGCUCAGAUUGACAAAUUAAAAGCUGAACAUGCUGCACUUAACGAAGAAUCUCGUGAGGUGAUUGUUCUAGCUACUCAUCCCCUUUUUUCCCCUUUCUUUUCUUCUCCUCACGGCCCGGUGAGGACUGUUUUACUGAAUACUUCCAUUUCCAAGCAGUUGACUCAGGAGAAAAAUGAUCUUCGAGAAGAGAAGGCAUCUCUUAAGUCAGAUAUUGAGAGCCUUAAUGCACAACAUCAGCAGAGAGUGAGAGCUAUGUAUCCGUGGGCAGGCAUGGAUCAUUCUGUUGUUAUGCACCCAGCUUCUUAUCCUUUUCCAUUGCCCAUGCCGAUACCUGCUGGUCCAAUUCCCAUGCAUCCAUCUUUGCAGCCAUUCCCACUAUAUGGGAAUCAGAAUGCUGCGGUUGUUCCAAGUCCUGUGUCAACUUUUGUUCCAUAUAUGGCUCCUAAUAGCAUUAUUGAACAGCAAUCAACACAACAUGUUUCUCAAGUAACACAGCCUGGUAGCAGAUCCCAUACUUCAAGCAGGCAAGAUUCUAGACCCAAAGCAUGCAAUCAGAAGGAUAGCAGAAGUGAAAAAAGCGAGACUUCAGAUGAUGUUGCAACUGACCUUGAGCUCAAGACCCCUGGGUCUACAGUAGAACAGGUUAAAAUACAGGGUUUAUUCUACUCUGUCAAGAAGGUCUUUUAGGUAAAAUAAUGAAGAGAAUUUGACAUGGCUGAACAACCUUGUGCAGGAUGUUUCACCUGGACAAAGAAAAGCCAAAAGAUCAUCUAGGAAGGAGAGUAACAUUACGGAAGGAAGUUCUUCAAGCAGGUGUUCAUCAUCUCACAGUGUACAGGCUGCUUCGUCAAGUAGUGUAGUUGGUGGCACAAAAACAGAUGAGUGAAGGAGGAAACCUGAACCUGGUUAUUUCAAAUUCAUUCUCCUCUCUUAAUCACUCUGAGUUAACCUUUGUCAACUGCUGGUGGCAUUCUUCUACUCUGGUGUGCAGCAGCUGCGGCGGACUUCAGCUGGAUACCAGAGGACGAGUCCAAGUGUAAAUAUGGUGUAGUUCCUCUCCAUAAGUAGGUUAGUGCUUCCACAGGACGUGGAUUAUAAUGGAGCCAGCAUCUGGAAAAGUAAUUUCAGAGGUGAUCUAUGUAAGCUUUGCUUUAUAUUUUUUGACCUGUUAUCACGCAUUCCUUCUUUCUUGUUGUACAGCUUUGUGUAAAUUUUAUGUUUUAAGGAUUAGAUAAAGAUUUUACUGACUUCAAGGCUGAUCAAGUUUCGGUGAAUGGACUUGUUGAUGAAUGAAUGGGGGCACCACACUGAAGUUAGCCGAGUAGAAGUCAGGAGAAUACAAAUGCAGUGAAGUUAGCCGAGUAGGAAGUCAGUCAGUGAUGAAAGUUAUGCGACUCUUCACUGCUCCUAUGUGAAUGUGGCACGACCAAAUUUUCACUUCAGAGUCGUUACCAUUGGCCAUGCCCACUACAUUUCUAGCGCUCCAGUUCUUUUUCUGCUUUUGAAGGGAGAAUGGAGUGCUAUUUGACCCCUUUUCGUCUUUUUUUUAAGGAGUGCUGGCAAAGAACGUGCUGCAGCGUAAUGGUCAUUUGGAUUUGUUACGGUACAACUGACACCAUAGGAUGUGCCGACGUCAUAGUGAGUGGUAUUUGCUAUUCGGUGAGCCAUUCUGAUGGGGGAAAAAUAUAAAUAAAUAUGGUGUAGUUUUCAUUGUUGGUUGGUGUGGGUGAGAAAGUAAGGCAGGACAUAAAUAGGAGAUACAAACGUAGCCGCGCGUGCAAUUCCUUCCUUUCCUUUUUUUUUUUUUCCAUCUUUUAAUGGAGGAGAUAUAGAUACAAAAAAUGGCUGCUACGGACAAAUUUUCAUCUUUCAACGGACGGGUAUGUUUGGACGAGAAAUUAUUUGAAAUGAUUAUUAUAGUAAUUUUUUGUAAUGUGAUGUAUGUAAAAUAAAAAUUUUAUUAAAAAUAUAAAAAAUUGAUUAAAAAUCAUAAUUGUGAUGUAAGUAAAAUAAUAUUUAGAACAAAUGUUGCUAUCCAAGCUUGCUCAAUUAAAUAUUUUGUUUGUAUAAAAAACACAAUUUCUAAUUAAUUUUUUAACUUUCUGUUAUCAUUUGAAAAAAAAAAUUAUCUUUGCAUCUUUUUAAUCAGUUUAUUUGCAUACAUCCCAUUCCAAAAAAAAUGAUAUAAUAAUUAUUUGAAAUAAUUUUCUAUCCAAACAUAGAUAUUAACCAUAGGUUACCAUUAAAGAAACCAUUUGGAAUUCAUAGAAUUUAAGUCAUAAAUUGCAAAAUUUAUAUUAAAAAAUACAUAUGAAUUGCAAAUGAAUUACUCCCUCCGUCCUACUUUUAUAGUCUUGUUUUCCUUUUUCAUCCGUCCCAAAUUGUAGUCCACUUCCCCAUUAAGGAAUGUAGUAAUCUUUCAAAUUGUCUAAAAUACCCUUAUUAAAUAUCUUGUUAUUAAUACAUUGUUAUUAAAUACUAACUCACUACAUUGAAUACAUUGAGGUUUUCCAAUGCACUCUUCGUGAUUAGCAUAAGGGUAUUUUAGGAAAUUAUUAAUCUAAAUUUAUGUUUCCAACCAAAUUAAUUACAUUUUCUUAAUCUGUGUGAAAAAAAAACCAAGACUAAUAAAACGGGACGGAGGGAGUAUAAGCAAUGGUAAUUGGACUUAAAUCCACUGACUGUAAAUUUCAAGGCUUGAAAAAAAAAAGGAAUUUUUUGAAAAAGCCCAAGGCAUUAUCUUGACUCUUGAGGUUAGGUGGACCAUUGAUUGUGUAAUGCACGCGGCGACAGCAAGCGUGGGAUGAGAGAGAAGCAGCCAACAACUCCGUACCAGUAAAAUACAUCGCCACAUGUCGAGGGACUGACUGAGAGGAGGCUUUCUCCCAAUCUUAAAAAAUUAUCUGCUCUGUUCUCUCUGCUCACUUCUGCUUGACGACGAGUAAAACUUUUAGUUGGCCAAGGCGUAGUAACAGAGAGUAACAACAAUAAUGGCUGUGGCUUCCACAUCUCUGGCUUGCCCCCAAUUCUCCGGCCUCCGCCGUUCUUCUUGUCCCAAGCUCGAUUCGCCACCUCUUUCCAUUUCCACUGCUCAAUCUUUCUUCCAAAAUUUGGACUCUCAUCUCCGCCUUUCUUCUUCUUCCCCCCGCAAUAAAGCUUGCCGGCCUGUCGUUGCAAUGGCCGGCUCCGGAAAGGUUAUUUCUUUUUCAUCCUUUUUAUUCUAGUCUUUUAUUAUUAUUGUUAUUAUUUUUUUUUGUAAACUUGACUUCUGUGACUGACUGUUGUUACUGUUGCCAGCCUAUAAAUAUUGGGUUCCAUGAGAUGACAGAUUUAUUCCUUUGAAAUUCAUUGGGGUAGUUCUGGACUCUUAAUUAUAGUUUAAGGAUUUAUGCUAAUUUAUUAUGAAAAUGUAAUGAGGCAUUGGAUUUAAUGACUCUAGUCAUUGGGUGGUUGAACAGUGAUGAAGUAAACUGGACUUCAAUUUGAUACCUUUAUUUCUUGUCCCCUCCCUCAAAACCAAACUAAAAAAAAAAAGAGGAAAAAGAAAAGGCUCCGGAUGGUAAGAAUUAGACCUUGUACUACUUUAUUCGUAAGUCUUCAAUGAAAUGCGAAUCUCUAAAAGCUCAAAUUGUUCGACAAGAUCAUGAUGCUUACCGCACAGUGAUACAUUAUGACAUUUCUUUCAUAAGUUUAUUGGCAUACUGAGAAAUGAGAAUGGUGUCAUUGGUUACUCCACUUUCUUCUUUUAGCCAAGCCGAAGCAAUCCACGCCUCUACGCCAUCUCUCUCUCUCCCACCUUUUUGCUAGAGUAUGUUAGUCAUGAUGAUUCAGUUUGGUUUUGGAUGAUGCUUCUUGGCUGUUCUUGAAUGUCAUUGUGCUCUGAAUCUGGGAGAUUUUCUUUUUUGUUUUUCCGGUCCUGGUUAAUUCUGAUGGUUCAUUUUCCGAAUAUUAUGCUUUUCCUUAAUGUACUUCAGUUUGUAAAACUUAUUUCAUUAUUUCACUCUUUCUGGUUCUACUUGAUCACUUGCUUUCUGAGAAACUAUUCAUCUUCUGAUGAUCAGUGUGACAUGAGAAUAUAUGAGCUUUAAAGAGUGUAUUAACCAGAGUCUUUUGGUUCUUCUUGCAGUUCUUUGUUGGUGGAAACUGGAAGUGUGUAAGUGUCCUUUUCUUUUUCUUCUUUGAGUUCUUAUUUUCAUAAGAUCAUUCAUCAUACAGGUACUUAUACUUGAACUGUGUAUUUAUUUCCUCUUUGCUCAGUUGACUCUUUAAAUGUCCAGUGUUCAUAAUUAAGAACUUUAACAAUUUUAGCAAAGUAGGUCCGGCUCCUGACCAAAAGGUGAUGGGGGUUCUUGGACUUCUAAAGGUGCCAAUAAAAUAAUAAUUAUACCACUAGAAGGCAACACUUGUAAAUUAUAAAUUACAGGGACUGAGAAUCCAAGGUACUAAAUGGACAGUAAUGACUAUUUGAUGUAACAAGAAAAAACUAAUAAGUCACGGUUAUUAAUUUCAGUAGUUUAGCUUAUCUUUCACUGCACUUGCUUAUGUCUUGCCUGUUAUCUUUCUCAGCAAAAUAGCUGUAUUUAAUGCUUGAUUAACCAUCCAAAAAUAGUCCCAGGAUACUGAUAUUCGUAAGUUUAUGCUCAUUGCUAACUAGCCUGUGGUAUUCAUGCUUUUAUUGUUAGUUUUUUCACUCACAAGGUGGGGAUGGGGGCAAGCUUGUUCUUAUGCUUUUUCGCAGCGUGAAAUGCUCACUGCUGGUGUAGUUUGAUAUAUAUGAUCUAGAAUAUGGGUUUUGUGCUCUAUGAAAAUGUGAUUUCUUUUGUCUAAUUAAGUAAGUAGCAUAUUUUUGGCACAUAAUGACAUUAUAAGACAACAUAUUUGCUGAAUAUGUUGAUCUCCUUUUACCCCUCUUUCUCCAUUUCUGAUAGUUCUGGAUAACUUUGACUAGAUAGAGCACACUAUUUAGCAAAGGAUUGAGUUUUUUCAUGCUUUAGCUUUGUUCUUUAUUGACUUCUUAUUGCAUGUUUUGCUCAGAAUGGAACAAAGGAGUCCAUCGGCAAGCUUAUCUCUGAUUUAAAUAGUGCAAUGCUGGAGUCUGAUGUUGGUGAGUUGUCCACAAUAUGCUUUCAAUAUAGCAAUAGCAAGUCACUUUGUCCCGAGUGCAGGAGAGUGCCUCAAUGUGCCCCAUACCGAUGUGAAUUGAAUGAAUGGACACCACACAAGUUCGUGCCUUUCCCUUAUCACACAGCGAUAGUCAUUCUUCUUCCUUCGGGCUCCCUUGGAUUGGUCUUUUUUUAGCGAAUAGGGAACCCCUUGGUGGGAGAUUACUGUUCUUUGUCAAAUAACCCCAAAGUAGUCUUUUAUACUAGUUAUGUCAUUGAGGUUGGAAUGAAAUUGUUGUAAUUGGUAAAAGUUUUUAGUUGUGACAUGUCUACAGAUUUCUAGCAAGCAUCUUCUAGGGAUAAUCCAGUCUCAGUUACAUUUUCUUCCCCGAGUAAGAUGUACCUUAGCUUAGUGGUUAGCCGUAUAUGUUGAUGCUAUGACUAGCAAACCUUGAAUAUAAUACUAUUUCCAUCUAUAAGUCUGUUUGAAAGCUUGUAGAAUUUAGAGCAGUGCCUUGCAUUAUUUUUACGCCUGGGUGGCUACGAUUUGGAGGCUAUACUUUUCUGUUUAAUUGCCAAUUGUGCAUCUUAUCUUGCCACAUUUGAGGCGCUAAACUACUUUGUCUUAGUUAUUUGCUAAUCUAAAUCGUAUUCAGCAGCUCUUCAGCUUUGAAUGCCACAUUACUAGAUUUAUUUUGGCUCUUUGAAAUCCAGAUGUUGUUGUGGCACCUCCAUUUAUAUACAUUGAUCAAGUAAAGAGCUCAUUAACCGAUCGCAUCGAAGUUUCUGCUCAAAAUUGUUGGAUAGGGAAAGGUGGAGCUUUUACUGGGGAAAUCAGGUGAGGUUAUAUGCGUAUUGUACUAUUUUUUCAUUAAACUUGUGGUAAAUCUGGUGAGAUUAGUUUAGUGGGACCAAAAUAUCAGUUGCCUGCAUUCUUGUGUUUCAGAAGUUGGAGAAUGAGUAUUAGGGAGAAGUGAGGCGAUUUGGAUAGGUGGGCAUGUUGUAGCUCACUUGUCUCUGAUUUUGUUACCUUGACUCCCAAUUAUACCAGCUUGCCACUUCACUGGUGAUUACGUAGGUCUUAUGCUUAGAGGUGAUUAGUUGGUUUGACUUUGACAUUACAAGGUUUGCAUGGCAAUGGGGAUUCGAAUCUGAUAAGUUCAAAUGCAUACAAGGGUGUUCAAUUUGGCAAAAUUUGUGAGUUUUAGAUGUUGUGAUGAAGUUGGGACUUGCUUAGUGGUUAGUAACUUUUGCUAGAUUGCAGAAUAUAGAAGAGAGAUACACGAUUAUGCAAGUAUAUGGAAGCAAGAAAAAUCAGGGAUAGCUCCAUCCCAUUCUAAAUAUGGCAGGUGUCUGUGAUUGUCCCCAUUUGCCAUUUAACCUCCACUGGUUUGAAAUGCAUUAGAGAGAGAGGGAGGGAUGGAAAGGGUGAGAGAGAGAGAGAGAGAGAACCUUACAGCAUUUUUUCAUUCUAGCUCAAAAUUCUUUCUUGCAGUGAAUGGAUUAUGCAGAAGUUUUAUCUUGAGUUAACUGUAUAUUAAUAGAUCUUUACAAGCUUUUAGGCCAACAUUCUUUAGACAGAGUUUGCUCUUUCAAUAGGACUACUUCCUUGGGUUUUCAAUUGCUGACUGGCUUAAUAGUCUGAGUUCAGCUUAUUGAUCAUUUUAAUUGUUGAUUGGUUUGUGGCUAUUUCAAUGCCUUAACAAAUGACUGAAAUAAUCUUAAUUUUCAUUUUUGUUUCAUAGUGGGGAACAAUUGAAAGAUAUUGGAUGCAAAUGGGUCAUUCUUGGGCAUUCUGAGCGAAGGCAUAUAAUUGGAGAAGAUGAUGAAGUAAGAGUCUUCCAGAUUUUACUACUUUUUAACCUGUUUUCUUCUCGCUAGUCGAUUUGCAGUUUGUGCUUUGAAAAUCUUUCUAAUUUACCAGUAAAUAAGUAGAGAAUUAUAAUAAAAAUGAAACAAGGAAUUCUUAAAACUGACGAACCCCUUAUCAUGCAGUUUAUAGGAAAGAAGGCUGCUUAUGCCUUGGGCCAAGGUCUUGGAGUGAUAGCCUGCAUUGGAGAGCUUUUGCAACAAAGGGAAGAAGGAAAAACUUUUGAUGUCUGUUAUAAGCAACUGAAGGCUUUGGCAGGCAAGCUGUUAACUCAUCUUCCAUAAACCUUUUCCUUUGCACCCCCUUCUUCUUCCCACCUCCCUCCUUCCCUCUAUCUCUCUCAUGAGUAAAUGUUUAAGUGGGAGAUGGACUAUCAAAAAAGAAAACAUGGUUAUCAAUUUUAAUGUCACAUAUAAAUCAUGAUAUUGCAGAUGCUGUACCAAGCUGGGAUGAUGUUGUUAUUGCCUAUGAGCCUGUAUGGGCUAUUGGAACUGGUAAAGUGGCCACACCUCAGCAAGCACAGGAAGUGCAUGUAGCUGUUCGCGAUUGGCUUAGUAAGAAUGUUUCAGCUGAAGUUGCUUCUAAAACAAGAAUUAUCUAUGGAGGUCUAAUCUCUCUCUCUCUCUAUCUCUCACUCCCCCCUCCCCGACAAAAAAAAAAAGAACCAAAAAGAAAAGUAGAAGCUAUUGUUCCUGUGCAGCUUGAUUAACUAUUGCUGUAUAUGAUCUCAAAGAAUGCUGUGGGUCAGGAAUUCAAUUGACCUUGUCGUCCUUGUCUUUGUUUCUGCUCCAGCGGACAUGAGCUUUCCAGAUGCUUCAGAAUAUUUUUGAUGGUUGAAUACUUUUUUUUUUUUAUAUUAUUAGACUACUGACUAUCUUUUUGCAGGUUCUGUUAAUGGAAGCAACUGUGCUGAUCUUGCAAAACAAGAAGAUAUUGAUGGAUUUCUUGUAGGUGGUGCUUCCUUAAAGGUACUAUUCUGCCUUUUAGAUAUUUAUACCUAGUUCUGUUGUCUACUGUUUAGGUUUUAUGUUUGUUUACUUGGUGUGGACUAGCAAAUGAAAACUUAACAUAUUUCAAAGUUUGGCCAAAAAGGGAUUGGGGUGAGCAAGGAGAAGAGGCUCUCUCGUGCCAGUGAUAGCAACAUGUUAUCUUGCCAUGACUGCAAGCUGUUUAUUUCAUGCAGAUAGUUCGGCAACUUCACAACUUUGAAUACUGUCACUUCUUAUCUUCAUUUGAGACAACAGUUCAUCUCAUUUUGUUAGUUCGCAGUACCUAGACUUGAUGGCAUGUUAGUCUUAUAUUUGGCAAUCGUUUGCUAUAUUCAAUCAGAUUCAGAAGGCUUUUAGACAUACAAUCCUAUGUUUAUUGUUUAGUAACCUUUACAUGUGUUGCCUUUGGUGUUAAUAAUUGAAUAUCCAUAGAGGCAUGUGGUAGUGAAUUUGUUGUUCUUAAUGACAGGGAUUAGUGAUCUCAUAAAAAUUGGCGCAUUUUGAUUAUUGAGGUUUUCUUCUCCAUUUUAAGAGAUGGUUUUUUAAGGAGCUUUAUUUUAGAAAGAGGAUGCUUUGAAUUUCUGAGUGUUGCUGGUGUUUUUGGCUCCUAAAAGUGGGCAUUGGGAGUUUAGCAGGGUGAGUGGUGUCUGUUGGGAAAGCAGAGAGAGAGAGAGAGAGUCACAUACCUGGAACAUAAAAUUGAUGUUUGAUUCAUUGGCUGCAGGGACCUGAGUUUGCUACAAUUGUUAAUUCUGUAACUUCCAAGAAGGUUGCUGCAUGAUCCUCUGAGGUAGCUUUUGGCAUCAAAAGGAUAGGCGGAUUGGAGUAUCUUCUGAGGUAUAAGUAUUGCGCAAACAGGAUCUUUUGGUCAGAUUUUGAUCCUGUUCAACUUCUUUGUCCCAUACAUUGAAUGAUGCACUUAAUUCGCUUCAACUAUAUAAAAUAAUAGAGAUUGUAUGCUAAAAUUUUAGCUUUUGGUGUAACAAAAUAAGUUUUGAGUUCAACAAUGUAUGAUCUUCCCGGAACAGAGUGAUUUUAUGUUAUGCAACAUAAAUUUUUCGCUCAGAUAUAAAUAAAACGCAGAGGAAUCAAGAGUUGGAUUUUGUUUGUUCUGUUCUCAUAUUUGAGGGGGCAAAAAAUAAAAUGGAAUGUCUUGUUGGUGAUGCUUACGGAACUUAAGUUGUGGACUGGUUUGAGCUUGAAAGCUUAUUAAGUUUGAAUCCCGAGCCUUUUUAUUUAUUUAUUUAUAAAUCUUCAUUUCCUCUUUUUGGUUAUCCCUUUUUUUUAAAAAAUAUUUUUCAAUCUGUCAUGGAGGAGGAGGUGGAAGAUGGGGGGGGAGAGCUCUACCAUUUAUUCUUGGUUGGCAGCAGCACCAAAAGUAUGAUGUGGCUCUCUAGAAGCUGCACACAAGAAUCGGGGUGGAGUUUUCUAAGUUUGCUGAGCAAAUACACUGAACUGAGAGAUGGCUACUUAAAAUAAGCAGUUUAAUUUUCCGCAGUGUUCUUUUGAAAGGAAUUCAAGUUUUUAUUUUGGUCAAAAUGAGCCAGAGUUUUGUUUGACAAGUGAAACUUAGUGCUAAAACAUUCAAAUUAUCGUUUCUUGACCUUUGCCAAGUGCUGGGGUUAGCCUGUGCACGUCUACGGAAAAGGGUAUGCGUACGUUUAUGUUGGCACCACGGCGGCAAGUGGACUAAGAGCAUCAGCAGCUUUGAGUGAGCAUUAGUUAAAGAACAGGAGAAUCCACACUCAAAAGCAUAUAUUAUUCCCAAGCAACUCUUCCUAGAAAGUAAAGCAUCCCAAAGGCCUUCAAUGUCUUCUACUAUAAAUCAUCCUUCCAAAAUGCUCGAAAGAUGGUAAGAAAACAGCAGAGGAGAGAGAUGGGUUGGUUUUAUUCCAGGAGGGGUCCGGAAUGGAAACAAGGAUGGAGAGGCCAGACGAUGGCCUCGCUCUCCUUGCCACCGCUUCCGCUACUGGCCAUAUUUGCCAUUGUCAUUUGCUUGUUAUCAUUGCCCCAAUCCACAAGCGCUGCAACCAUCGACUUGAAGUUGCUCCUCUUCUUAGUGCCCAUCCUUCUAAUCUUGUUAAUUCGUCCUAGCUUUUCUGGUGGCUGGUUCAACUUCGGGACUCCAAAGCCCGGGCCCGGUUCAUCAGCACAUCAAAGUGGCGGAUUCCCAUGGGGUGUUGCCUUGUUGGUGGUGAUCCUCGUGGUGUUGGUUUCUUAUCAAUCAUCAUUUCAAUCCAUGUGGUUUACCCCUCUGCGGAGCUCGGAUUAGUAAGCCGAAAGGCAGCAGUAACUUGCAAGCUAGGAGUUGUGUGCAUCUGUGUGUGUGUGUUUAGAAAUAAAUUGAAACAUUACUUAGAAUAGUAAAUUGCCAAAAAAAUUGUUAUGUUUGUUCAUCUGUGAUUCCUGUUGAAAAUUUUCCAAAAUUUGGCUUUCAUAUCGAGGACGGUUUUAGAAGACGACAUAUUAUUCCAGCACUGGCAGUGGUGGCCAUGGGCGGCCCGAAGAGCCAUGCAAGCCUAUGAGUUGCAUCACGGAAUUGGAUCUAUAUAGUUGCUUUAGGCCGAGCACAAAUGGCCCAGUGCAGAAAUGCAGCAACAAUACAUGAGGGAGCGAAUCUAAUUAACAUCUUUAAAUUAAAUAAUCUGCCUUCAACCCUUAACCACCAUUCCUUCCGAAAAAAAACCCUUUACCACCACCAUGAUUUUUUACUCGUUGGAAUCUGUUUCCUUGAAUCAUGAUGGUAUUAUGUAUUAUUGCGCUACCAAUCAAUUUCAAGAAUCAGGAACAGGAAUCAAUGCACCAUGUCCACAACAAAAGUCCAUAUGAACUGCUAAUCAAUUCAAGUUGUGAUUCAGAUAAUAAAUCCUGGGUCACACUCACAUAUAGCGAUCAUUGAAAUAUCGACCAAGAGACCUGCCGACCAUGCAUGAUAAACCAAAAAACAUUUAUCAGUCCAUAAAUAAACCUCUAUCAGUGGAGUAACUGAUGGGGCUCCAUCAAGAAUGGAGAUCCCCAAACAAAUGAUAUGCUGCUCUAAGACCAUCAAAUAAUAACUAAUUCAGGAAAGUUGAAAGCCGUCAAAAAGCAUGCACAAUCUGCACACGCAUUAAGCUAUUUAUUUACUACUCCAUUGAUUAGCAACUUCCUUUCCUCUCUUUUUAUCUUUUCCAUUUGUUGCAGAUUUUCAGCAGAAUUUCAGGCCCUGUAUGGAUUAUGGAGUACAACUCAACAAUCAUGAAUCACCAACAUCAUCUAAGAUAGCAAACUCUCACUCCGAUCCUACCGUGUAACACUUUAACAAUCUAAAGAUUUCCCUGCUUUUAAUACAUGCACACGAAGAAAAAAAAAAAAAGAAAGAAAGAGUAACGCAAAACCAAUUAUUACUAUCAACCAACAAGCUGUAUAUACUUGCAAAAACACAAGAGAAAGUGGACUAUGAACUGAUGUUGCACAAGAACAACUACUACUGGUCAUAUAAACCAACUAUCAAGAAAAGUAGACUGAAAUUGCAGCAAAACAAUCAGCAGCAGUAUCACGGCAGCCACUCCCCAGGGCGAGCUCCCUUCCGGGUACCGAUAGUACUGCAUCCUCCGAUGCCGAUCCCACGGCGAAGUACCCCAAAAGAAGCUCUCCGGGCUGUCUAUGCUGGACAAAAACCGCACGAGGAAUAUCAAGACCACCGGCACGGCAAACAUUAUCCAUCCCAGGUUUACUUCAGCGGUCUCUACCACUGACUCGUAAGAGACGUACGACUGGAGACCAAGAAAGAUACAGAUGACUCCCAAGAACAGCAGAACCGGAUAAGGCAGAGGGUUCAGUGAGAAAACCUCCAAGAAGGAGGCUGCAGUGCUUCUUCUGUGAACCAUGAUCAUAUACGAUUGAUGAUUGAGUGGUGGCUUCUGGAGUCUGGACUCUUUAUUUUUAGGACAAAUUCAGGAAGUCGUUGGGAACUGAAGGGGUACGUGACUUAAUCUUAUUGUACUGCUAGUCUGCUGGUCCUAGUUAUUGCCCAAUUAGCAGCACUUGACUAUAAAGGGGAUGUCUGAUGCAGUGUGAGAGGACCUACUGAAAUUAAGUGGUAAUGUGUACGAAAAGUUUAGAACCGUAGGUUUUGUUUUUGGCGACUUCUUGAUCAUCACCAUUUGGAAUAGUGAACUUAAGUUAAUUUCCUUUUUUAAAAAUUACUUUUUUUUUGGUAGGUUGAGUGAAAGGUACUUUUUUUCCUAGCUAGAAAAUGGUUUCCUUAUUUGUGGGGAUCAGUCAUGCUCAUCACUCAUCAAUGGCCUGUCAACGUAAUUUAAUGUGUCACGGUCCACUUUGCAGUUCUUGAUUGGCAGUUGUUGGACUGGCCCAGUUUGAAAGCAAACUGUAUCCCCAUCUUUUGGUGCCUGAUUUCAGGGCAUUUCAUCGUACUCUCUGCACCAGGAUUUCGAUUAUCUCCGAGUGUUAAUCUAUCUUUGUUGUGUUAUUUUCAGUAAUUUCGAUUGUUGAAAAAAAACAAUCUCUUAUUUUUUUCCAAAUUGAAAAAAAAAAAUCUAAUAGUACUAUGUUUUUUGAAGCAGCUGCAGCAUAAGUGGGUCGUCUAACCAGUCUAUAAUUAAUUGGUUAAGAGAAGCUGAGGAGCUAACAAAGCAGAAUUGAACCAUACAAAUGUUUUAACGCAAAGUUGGAGGUAAUAAUUGUGCGUGCGCGUAUUUGAAUAGCAAGUUAAUGUAAAUUUGGUUUACCAAACAGUGCUGAUUAGAGAUCCACUUGGAAUGAUUCGAAACCAAUGACGAAUGAAUCCAACUACCAACUCUAAAAAAACAUUGGGCCUCCUCAGGCCCAUAUGUCCUUGCAAGGACACUAGCAAGCGGAAUUUAGGCAUGCUGCUGUCUUGGCCCCUAAAUGUCUGCGGACGCUAGAAACUACAUAUAUAUACACACACAAAAAAUGACGAACAGGUAAAAGCAAAAUUUUGUUUGCUUAUCCAACCAGCAAGCCCUCGAGGAACAGCACUUUGUCCAAAUAUACGAGCCUUUUCCACCAGAAGAACCUGAGUUCAGACUUUUCCUUCGUACUGGAAAUAUAACUUGUAAUCAUUCUGCAAGAUUGCCAGAGCGCUUCUGCAAGGACCCUCUACAGACCAGUAGAAUAAGAAAGUUAGAUUCGAUGCAACUAGCCCCUUUAUAGUUCUCAAAAAAAAAAAAAAAAAAGGUUGUCUCACCUCCAAAUACCGUGUGAAGGUGCUGAAGCUGAUCUGCUGAACAAGCAUCAAUUAGAGCAUAUACACCAGGUCUCAAAGCUUCAUCAAUUUCCCUGUUGACAAGUUCAACCAUUGUGCUGUGAGUGCAAGGCAUGUACAAUGUAAAAGUUGGACAGAUGCAAAUAUCAUCCAUAAUUGAUGUUAAAAUCCAGAUUCCUAAUGAUCAGGAUAGUAGACCGCGAAGUGAACGUAAGACACGAGGAAUCACCUCCUGAUGCCGGUUUUAAGAGGACCAAAUCCACAGUAGACCCAUAUGUAACAGGAUAAAAAUUGAAAACAGUAGCGACCAAGGCUAUCCUUCUGCUGCCUUAUCUGCAAAACAAGGAAAAAAUAACCAGUUAACUUCUCUUUUUCUUUUUCCUUUUUUUUUUUUUGAAAUGGCAAUUGUUAUUUAAUGUGGGUGAGACCAGUACAUGCAAUUGAACAUGCAUCAAGUAAUUUAGUUUGCUCUCCAUUCAAGUUCCAAGGUCUAGCUAAAAUUAAGAGUAUACCAACAUUUUUUUUUUUUUUGGGGUCAAUAAGGCAUUUGGACAAGUUCUUUUCCUUUUAGUAAAAGAAUUAGGGAUUUGGAAAAUGGCAAAAGCAUAGGGAUUUGGAACAUGAACUAAAAUUAAAAUUGCAAACCCUGAACAGGUUGAAAUAUCUUGCAGCAUGCCUAAAACACUCGGAAAAGUACAAUCUUUCUAGUGCAUGGAAUAUAAGAAUCAAUUUAUCCACAGAGUUACUUAAGAGCAAUUUAUCCCUGAGUAGUACACGCACACACAUAUACACAUACCUCUUCAUAUACUCUUCUCAGACAGCAGGCACAUUUAACACCCUCUUGCACUUCCCAUGCAAAAUUCCCUCCUCUCACAAUUGGAUCGAUAUUCACCAUCUCCAAGCAAUGAAGAAGAAUACUGACUGAGUGUUCGAGAAGAGCAGCGCAUCGCUGAGUCUCACUAAAGAUCAACAGAACAGGGAUAGCAAAAUUGAUUAGCCAAUAAAAAGGGAUUAAGGCAGAUUUCUAGGACCAUUUGAACCAAGAAUAUAGGAAGUUUUUGCAUACCUUCCAUGAUGCUUAACAAGGGAGGACAAUAAUCGGCAGCAUGCAGCAUAUAGGUCCAAGGAAUACCUUCCGUCUAAGAUACGGCCACUUGUGAUUUUUAGGGAGCAAGUAUCUGUGGUUUUUGAAGUAGUUGAAGAAUAAGAAUCGGAGAGUUGAAGCUGGAGGAGAUUUUGGAAUAAUGCUGCAGGUAUGUUUAAGGACUGCCCAACAUAGGAGGCAUCCAUUUGAAAGAGAGCAUGCUUUCCAGUAACCCUUCUCAGCAACUCAAUGCACAUAAGGAUGACUGACCCAGAAUCUGGACCAGUGUAACCUUCAUCAAAGUUAACAUUUCCUUGGAAAAUGCUGGGCCCCUGCAAGUGUAGGACUACGUUGAAGAGACAUGCAACUAAGCUCUGGAUGUGUCUUUUUACUACGUUCAGACGUUUGCGCCCUAGAAGCAAAUGGAAAAAAUAUAAUUACAUGCAUAAAUAACACUGCAUGAAAUGAUCUAAUUCACAAAAGAUGCAUUACUGUGGCAAUUUGUUAUUUAAAACAACUGGAGAAGAAAAAGGGACUCACAAAGCAUGUCGACUAAAUAGCUCUACUGUGAUACUAGUUCCUUUCCAAUAUCAUCAAUGAAAUAAAUCCCAAAGCAUUAUAUUCACAACUUUUUCCCGCAUGUCAAAUAAAGAAUUUUUGGUCCUGCUGGUCCAUAUGAACCAAGGCCUUGUUCAGCACCAAUCUUUGGUUCUCUGUGCAAAAACUACUUUAUUCUUCCAGAAACAAAUCAGAUGAAGGCAAAAAACCAGAUCGUCUGAUGGGAUCUAACAUAUCAAUUGAGAAAAAUAGGAAGAUACCAAGAGACAUAAAGAUGUACAAACACAGAGAAACCAAGAACAAUCCACGAUUUAACAGACAAGAAAUCAACAUGCCGAAAGUUGGCAAUCCACAUAGAGAUUAUCUUUUUGAAAAUGUUAUUCAAAACAAGAGGGGGGGCAACUGAGUGAGGUACAAAAAGCAAAGUAACCUCACCUGUCACAAAUUCAAUAAGUGAAUCCAAACAAUCAAUGCCAGCAGCAACAACUGAAGAUACCUUCCCACAACCCAAACUGCCAAUAUGAAUUUCAUAGUUUGUCAAGCAGCCGUCCUGCACUCCCACAACAGCUCUUUCUAUAGCCUGAAUUGCUGUUAACAAAUGCAACUCUGAUGAUUUCUGAACCAGAACUCUGAAUGAUGUCCUCAGUCUAGCUAUAAAGUCAUCCAAGCAACUCAAUUCGUGAGAAAUGGAGGACUCAGAAAAGUUCAACCACUCAAUUGGCUUUUCCAUACUUGACCCAGUCUCUUUUGAAGAAAGAGUAGCUAUUUUUCCCUGUAAAACAAUGCACUUUCCGAUAGACCUCAAAUGCAAGUCUAUCAGCUUCCCAUACAAUUUCCUGGAUAAUAUAGGGCUGGAUGAAGGAAAACAAUUACCUAAUUCUUCCAUAAAUUUGAUAACCCCAUUUAACCAUACAAAAGAAAAUGGAGGUGGAGCAACAUCUCUUGCAAAUUCCAGUAAUAAGACUUCAGAAACUCCAAGUAGAAUUGGCAUAAUAUUUUGCAACAGAGCAGUGGAACCCAGCUCCAACUUCAGUCUCAAUAUAGCUGCAGCAGCAAGAAAUAGCUGUUUAAGAAAAUAAGCCUCUUCUGAUUUGUCACCUCUGAUAAGUUCAUGCAAAAAUGUCUUCCUUAAACAUCUUGAAUCAAACAAUUGAACCUUGGCUAGAAGAGAUUCAACAUCUUCAUUUUUUGGAAUGGGCUUCCCUUUCACUACAGAUUUGUCAGAAAUAUAAUGUACUUCAUUAUUUCCUCUGUUACCAAAAGGUUCACUAACUUGUGACAUUUCCGCAUGCAAAACAUCAUUACCAUCAGCACCUUUAUUAAUGAACACCUCUUCAUUUUCCAAACACAGAUGGUCCAAUUCUGGCUGGUCAAGUUUUUGAGCAAUUGCUAGAUUUUGAGCCAAUGAAUCAUCCUCAAGAAGAAAUAGCUGUAAGAAGUAGCUUACAUAUUCUGCACAUGUAUUUAUAAAGAUAUUUAGUUUGUACAGAGGUUCCAAUUCGCAUUUGGACAAUCUUAUCCUCAUUUUACAAUUCUCCGCAUCUAUGUUGCCGAGCCCAGAAGCUAAACCCCAUAGGAAGCCUUGAAUGCAAGAUAUCACAGGUGACAAUUUCUUCAACUCCUGAAACUCAGGCAGAACUCCCAAGUUUUCACUUGCAUAGGCUUGGCUAAAACAUGCAAGUGAGUUCUGCAUGCAUUCGCUUAAAACAUUGGCUACAAGUGCUAAACUUUUACAUGGAUCAUUGUCUCUGCAAAAAUCUAAAUGUGGUUCAUCUUCAGCCAAAUCUGUGUCUUGACUACCAACAGCAAAAUUAUCUUGUCCAUUAUAAUCCAUCCCUGAAAAAAGCAAUGAAAUUUGCAACCGGUUUUUGCCCACUGUCAAAAACAUAUAUGAUGUGUGAUCCAUCAAUGAAAAUAACAAAUCUUUCAGUUGAGAAGGAACAGCUUCUGAAGAAGCAUUUUGAAAUCCAACUACUGCAAGCAAUGACUCCAAAAGCCAUAAUACAGGAGAUGAACCCUCUAAUAGUAAGCUAAUAAGUGAAGAGUGAUUGUAAUCCAUAUUCUCUUCACAUGAAGCCAUCAAUAAACUUUUAAGGGUCCUCCGACAGGAGAGAAACAGUUGGAAAAACUCAUCAUGACCACCUGCAAGUAAGGUGUUGUACCAACCUAACAAGCUGCCAACCGCAACCCUGAAAUGCACGACUUUAAUGAAACACUGAGAAAGAAUUCUAAGCUGUGCAUGCUUCAUAAACUGAAAUUGCAACCCCCCCCUGCCCCAAAAAAAAAGGAGUAACUCAUGUUGCAUGACUAACCAGUAACAUAGAAUUCAAAUCAAAUAAGAAAAGAAAAUAAUAAAGUCCUCGCCCCACUUGAAUUUUCCAAUUUGCAGUGAAUUGUUCUACAAGAUUAAGCUGAUUAGGAUCUGAAAGAGCAUAAAUUCAAACCACAUAUAGACAGGUAGGCAAACUUUCACAAAAAUUUGCAUAUGUAAUACAAAUAAUGUGCAUUUAUACUUCUACUGAAUCCAAACUUAUUAACUAAGAUGCUGGAGUAUUAAUCAAGAGACAAACCCUAUAUAGGGCAAGUAGCCAAUAUCAAAUUCUUAAACUGAAAAAUAAAGAGUUGUUAGCUGAAGCAACCACCAAAGGUCAGUGCUUCCACACCACAGUGACCACAGAUGCAAUACGCAACCUAGAAUGCCACAGUGACCACAGAUGCAAUACCACACUGUCAGUCAAAAGAAGCCCACAUUAUACUGAAAUCAUCAAAGCAAAGGAUAGUCAAGCAAAGACAAGAAAAUAUCGAAAAAUUGAAGGAACCAAUAGCUAAUACAAAAGGUCAUAUCUAAACAGAAGACUAGAUGGUUCCCUGUUGGGAGUUUUUACCGUCUUAACUUUGAACUAUGCUUCUCUUUUUCACUCUGCAUCUUUCUACUGAAAAGUCUGGCACUGUCCCACUUCUAAUCUCAGGACUUAAAUUAAAGAAACUAAUCCUUUUACCAAAUUAUUAACAAAUGAAAGAGCCAAUGUUAGUGGCAAGAGGAUCUUCACAUUGUAAUUUUAAAUUUAAAAUAGUAUGACAGGUAAAAGAGUUCAUUUCAUAAAGUGCCAAGGCUCCAUAAAGCAAAUUUAAGAAAGAUGAUCCAAUGAAUACCCAUUCCACCCCCACCCUUCUGGAUUUAGUUGUUGAUCCAAUUUGCACAAUGCAAACAAAAACCAAAAAAAUUCAUUCCCAAGUUGUUAUACUUUUCUAGUUAGUUAACAUCCAUAGUUUGGUUCACAUCUUAAGACCAAAACACAGAUCUAAACCUUGGAAACAUAUACUAUAAACCUACCGCACAUUGAAAAAAUGGCUUAAAUGCCAAAAACAACAUCAGCAGCUAGCAGAUCUCGCAUAUCAUAUGCAUAGCCACUUAAACAUAUUAUCAGAACUAAGGUUCACAGGAAUUGAACAUACUGCUCAAGUUUGAGAAUGCAAUUC